This 262-nucleotide long non-coding RNA is filed under the name Elaeis guineensis (African oil palm). Its description in RNAcentral is "long non-coding RNA (EGUI_LNC048355)". Lineage: Eukaryota; Viridiplantae; Streptophyta; Magnoliopsida; Arecales; Arecaceae. The record is from RNAcentral.
AUGCCCAGAUCUGAUGGUGAUCAGAUCUAAGAGAGAAAAAGUGAGAGAAGAAGAGAAGAAAAAGGGUUCUUCUUCUUUUCAUGGUAAUCUGGUUUAGAUCCCGUCAGAUCUGCGUAAAAGAGUUUGCGUAGCAAUCUCCUUCUUCAAGAUCUGGAAGAAGAGAUCUAGAUCCAAGGAUGAAGAGCGAGAUUUGCAAGGUGCUAGUACAUCGAUGAUCUUGAUGCUUUGAUCAGACAUCUCUAUGUGGAUACCAACAGAGGUC